This 513-nucleotide ribosomal RNA is filed under the name uncultured bacterium. RNAcentral's name for it is "partial 16S ribosomal RNA". It matches the Rfam family "Bacterial small subunit ribosomal RNA", at positions 28 to 523 of the family's 1533-position model. The record is from RNAcentral.
GACGAACGCUGGCGGCGUGCCUAAUACAUGCAAGUUGAGCGCUGAAGGUUGGUACUUGUACCGACUGGAUGAGCAGCGAACGGGUGAGUAACGCGUGGGGAACCUGCCUUUGAGCGGGGGACAACAUUUGGAAACGAAUGCUAAUACCGCAUAAAAACUUUAAACACAAGUUUUAAGUUUGAAAGAUGCAAUUGCAUCACUCAAAGAUGAUCCCGCGUUGUAUUAGCUAGUUGGUGAGGUAAAGGCUCACCAAGGCGAUGAUACAUAGCCGACCUGAGAGGGUGAUCGGCCACAUUGGGACUGAGACACGGCCCAAACUCCUACGGGAGGCAGCAGUAGGGAAUCUUCGGCAAUGGACGAAAGUCUGUCCGAGCAACGCCGCGUGAGUGAAGAAGGUUUUCGGAUCGUAAAACUCUGUUGGUAGAGAAGAACGUUGGUGAGAGUGGAAAGCUCAUCAAGUGACGGUAACUACCCAGAAAGGGACGGCUAACUACGUGCCAGCAGCCGCGGUAA